Molecule: transfer RNA, 73 nt
Filed under: Diacronema viridis
Lineage: Eukaryota; Haptophyta; Pavlovophyceae; Pavlovales; Pavlovaceae
Description: tRNA-Asp
Rfam family: tRNA
About the family: Transfer RNA (tRNA) molecules are approximately 80 nucleotides in length. Their secondary structure includes four short double-helical elements and three loops (D, anti-codon, and T loops). Further hydrogen bonds mediate the characteristic L-shaped molecular structure. tRNAs have two regions of fundamental functional importance: the anti-codon, which is responsible for specific mRNA codon recognition, and the 3' end, to which the tRNAs corresponding amino acid is attached (by aminoacyl-tRNA synthetases). tRNAs cope with the degeneracy of the genetic code in two manners: having more than one tRNA (with a specific anti-codon) for a particular amino acid; and 'wobble' base-pairing, i.e. permitting non-standard base-pairing at the 3rd anti-codon position.
Source: RNAcentral
GAGUGUGUAGCUUAGUCGGUAGAGUAUUAGCUUGUCGAGCUAAAUGCCGUGGGUUCAAGUCCCACCACGCUCG